CAUUCGUACGGUGUGGAUGUGAGGAUUCUCAGAAGUCCCAUUCCCCUUGCACUCAACCUGCUCACCAGACAUGACCAGGGCAAAGUCCUUCUUGGACACUAGAAACCGAGCACUCCCUGCUGCAACGCAUUCAAUGUUCUCAUCCAAGUCUCACCUCUCCCUUCUCUUGACAGGACCCCUAGAGAAAGCACAGUGAUCAGACCAUUUUACAGAGAAGGAAACCAAAGACCAAGAGGGCUGGAUUCAGAAGACUGUCUCAGUGCCAGGCAGUGGCAAAGCCGGAAGGUGAGCCCAGGAAGCAGGCCCUGGAAAUAGUAAGGCGCACCUUUGAACAGCAUCGAGGGUCCCUGUGAACCAGGGGAUGCCAAGUGCUGCUUAGGGCGGCUCGGAGCGCCUCACUGCCAUCCCCUCCUCCCUCUGGCUGAGGAGUUUUAAGACCUCCUUCAGGACUCGGGGUGCAGCUGGUGGGAAGCCCUGGGUUCCGUCAAGCCUGCUUAGCCUGCAGGAGGCCUGAGUCGAUCUCUGGGUGCCUAAACCACGUUCCUGCGCCUUCCUGCCGGGGCCGCUUCACGGGCCUUCUGACCACAGGAAUCCCCACAGAAAGCCACAGCCAGGCCGGGAUUCCCAGCCGAGAGGCCUAGGAGGUAGUGCCAGGGGCCACCCACCUUGCACCUUUAUUGGCCAACUGGGUGAUAGGAUUUCUGCUCUCCACCUGCCCCAGAAGAGGCGCCAAAUUAUCACUCAGAUACAAAAUGAGUUCGCUCAGAAUCCAGAUCUAAUGAAUAUUGUCUGGCUUCUCUUCAGUUACAGGGGGACUGCAGGUGGAAAGUUGCUCCCGAGGUGGAACAAAUGGAGGAGCUUAGAAGGGAACAUUAGGAUUUCACUUUUGAACAUAGUUUUAGAAUCUAUUAAAUAUCCAGCUGUGGCAGAUCUUGGUAUUUCAAUACAGAGAUACAGAAGGCUUGGACCUUGUGGCCAUUGUCAAUAAUGAGCACAAGGUUUUGAGCAAAAGGAAAACUUUUAUUGCUUUGCUAGUAAAGGUGAAACACGGUUACUUUUGUUCCCUAAGCUGUAGUGAUGGACUGUUCUCUGCAGGAGGAACACAGGGUUUUUAUUUAUCUUUAAGUGAAUCAUCUUUAUUAAAAUGUGAUUGAAAGUAUUAGGGUAAAGAAAUCACCAUCACUGCUAAAGGGCUGCAAGUUUGAUGUGUGUGACUUUGUAACUGCUGAUACUUAUAAAAUGGUUUAGGGUUCAUUUGGUGGUUAACAGAGGAAUUCCUGUGUUUAACAAAAUGGCAAACAACAUGAACUGAAUAAUACUAGGAUUUUUAUUAGUGUAGAUAAUGUUAUAUUUGUAUCAUAUAAUUUAGGUUUGAGCUUUUUCUUCAGAGCCAUCAGUAUAACGGAUUGAAGUGAGUUUUCAGCAACUGCCACCUCUUGUUGAGUUUCUGUCAUAAUUUUUCCCUGCAACUCAGCCAUUGUUUUAAACUUUAUUUUGUUCACUGACAACAAGACUUUCAAGAUACUCCCCCAGGUCCUUGAUACGCAUAUAAAUUUUCAAUUUCUUUAAUUUUCUUGCACUGAACAAUUCUAGCUUGGAGGGGAAAAAAGGAAAAAAAAGCUUUUUUUUUUCAUCUUGAAAUAUAUUAGCUAGUUUCUCUUCUUUUCCCUCAGUUUCCUGUACAUCUAUGUCCCACUGUUGAAACAAAGGCAGAAAUUGCUGAGAAUAUUUGCAAUGAAGAUUGUGCCUUUUCGUUUGUGUUUUUCAAAUAUGCUCAAUUUUUCUUUAACGGCUUUGAGAGAAGCAUCUGUAUUUAUUUCAAACAAUAUUCUUGCAAGAAGAGCUUGUGUGACAUCAGCUCCAACUGCCUGUAACACCUUCUGUACAUCCUGCCCAUAUCUUGCUCAUGUCAUCCUGCAAAGGAGCUGCCCUCUCCAC
This 1938-nucleotide long non-coding RNA is filed under the name Marmota monax (woodchuck). Lineage: Eukaryota; Metazoa; Chordata; Mammalia; Rodentia; Sciuridae. The record is from RNAcentral.